This 464-nucleotide unclassified non-coding RNA is filed under the name Hevea brasiliensis (rubber tree). Lineage: Eukaryota; Viridiplantae; Streptophyta; Magnoliopsida; Malpighiales; Euphorbiaceae. The record is from RNAcentral.
GUGAGAGUUGAGUGUGUGCAGUUAAAUCAAAUUAUGGCCUAUAUAUUAUUUUUCCACAAAUUUCAAUUAAAAAAGAUUAAUCAAAUUAUGAAGUUUUGCCAUGUAUUUUGCUAAUGGGUAAUCUACAACUGAUACUUGCAUAUAUUACAAGCUACAGUGAGAAUGUGUUCAAAGAAAUUUUACAAAAACCAUCAUAUCAAACGGAGAAACCAGAAACAUGGCAAUUAGAUACAGACUGUAAUGAGGUUCAAUACAGGAGAAAGCAAUUCCAGAAACUCAACAAUAAUCAUCCCAAAAAAUAAGAAGGGAAAAAAAUCUUUUUUCCCCAUUUUCAUAUUAACAGAACAGUCAAAACCCAGAAAUUGAAAGUCUAUGAGGCAAUUCAAAAAGAUAACAAGAUCACAGGAUGUAACUUUGAAGGUUGAUGCUAUGGAAAUACGUGUGAAAGAGAAAAAGAUUGAGAA